Molecule: long non-coding RNA, 2591 nt
Organism: Oncorhynchus keta (chum salmon)
Lineage: Eukaryota; Metazoa; Chordata; Actinopteri; Salmoniformes; Salmonidae
Exons: 4
Source: RefSeq, a predicted model, not a curated record
UGGUCAGUCCACGACAGGACAAAACAACAGGAGCUGGUCAGUCCACAACAGGUGAAAACAACAGGAGCUGGUCAGUCCACGACAGGUGAAAACAACAGGAGCUGGUCAGUCCACAACAGGAGAAAACAACAGGAGCUGGUCAGUCCACGACAGGACAAAACAACAGGAGCUGGUCAGUCCACGACAGGACAAAACAACAGGAGCUGGUCAGUCCACAACAGGUGAAAACAACAGGAGCUGGUCAGUCCACAACAGGUGAAAACAACAGGAGCUGGUCAGUCCACAACAGGAGAAAACAACAGGAGCUGGUCAGUCCAUAACAGGUGAAAACAACAGGAGCUGGUCAGUCCACAACAGGUGAAAACAACAGGAGCUGGUCAGUCCACAACAGGUGAAAACAACAGGAGCUGGUCAGUCCAUAACAGGUGAAAACAACAGGAGCUGGUCAGUCCACAACAGGUGAAAACAACAGGAGCUGGUCAGUCCACGACAGGUGAAAACAACAGGAGCUGGUCAGUCCAUAACAGGACAAAACAACAGGAGCUGGUCAGUCCACAACAGGACAAAACAACAGGAGCUGGUCAGUCCACAACAGGAGAAAACAACAGGAGCUGGUCAGUCCACAACAGGACAAAACAACAGGAGCUGGUCAGUCCACAACAGGACAAAACAACAGGAGCUGGUCAGUCCACAACAGGAGAAAACAACAGGAGCUGGUCAGUCCACGACAGGAGAAAACAACAGGAGCUGGUCAGUCCACAACAGGAGAAAACAACAGGAGCUGGUCAGUCCACAACAGGAGAAAACAACAGGAGCUGGUCAGUCCACAACAGGAGAAAACAACAGGAGCUGGUCAGUCCACAACAGGACAAAACAACAGGAGCUGGUCAGUCCACAACAGGAGAAAACAACAGGAGCUGGUCAGUCCACAACAGGAGAAAACAACAGGAGCUGGUCAGUCCACAACAGGAGAAAACAACAGGAGCUGGUCAGUCCAGAGCGUUCUAUAUCUGUCACUGAGUGUCUGUUGUGUGGCGCAUAUGAGGUGAGGAAGUUACACUUGUGUGUAAUUCACUGCUAAAUGUUUGCUAUCAGAUAUCUUACAACGGCUUUCUGCCGUGUUUGAGGAGUAAGUCAGAGCUCUGUAUGGGUUGUCUGUACAGCUGCCAUUUUGUCCCUGUACUUCCGACUAGCGUUUUCUCUCCCCUCUGCUCCGUGUUCACAUGCUGCUCUUCCCUCUGGAAAAACAUGCAUCACUACUUUUUUAUUUUCACUUGCUCUCAUUGACUUUCACUUAUAAAUGUCCACACUCACCGAAAAUGAGCCAUGCUUGUAUAGCUUCAUGAGCUGGAUUUGCCUGUCUACAAUUAGUUUAUGUUCGUUUUCGCUUGUUAGCAUUUAGCUAACAUCUUCUAUAUGGUUUCGCUCUUACUUGGGCAAUUUCUUUUUAGUAUUCUGGGAAAGCAAUGUUUUUUGGUUUUUAGCGGCCACUUGUGUGCUAUUCCGGUUAUACCAGAAAUCCCUGCAUGAACAUCUACGCUGGUGGGAGGAGCUAUAGAAGGACAGGCUCAUUGUCAUGGCUGGAAUGGAAUAAAAAUGGAACGGUAUCAAAUGUAUGGAGCCCGUCCUUCUAUAACUCCCCCCACCAGCCUCCACUGGCCCAAGCCUAUGUAAUGGUGUGGAGUCCUUGCUCUCACAUAUCCAACUGUGUUAGAUCAGUGACAUCCAGGAAAGAAGGAUGGAUUUAUAGCAGUAUUGGAACUGGGCCACUGUACUCUAUGCAAGAAGGAUCCUAUCUUGUUUGAUAGGUGCUAGACAAGAGCUGAUGUUGACCCUAACUCAAGUUGAAGCUGUCCCUGGAACAGUCUGACGGAGGCUAAUCUAAGGAAACUCAGUGAGUCAGGUCUGUGCCUCAUUACAUUGCUUUCACAGAAGACUGUCAGUGUCCAUUUUAAGCUAGGUGUUUCAAUUUGCCUCUCAGUAGGAGAGCGGCUGCAACAGUUAUCUCUGUCUCUGUCCCUUUUUAUUGGUUAACUCUUUGUUUUGCUCUCCCUUUCCACCAUCUCAGAUCUCCCUCUCUUCCUAUCACUCCCCUCUCUCUCCUCUCUCCCCCCUCUACUCUCUCUCUCUCAGCACUCAGCUCUCACCUCUCUCCUCCUCUCCCUCAGCUCUCUCUCUCUCAGCUCUCUCUGCCCAUCACCCUUUCACUCUCUCUCUCUCCAGUCUGUUGUAAGUCCACCUGUCUCUGUCAAUCCUGUGAGACUCCCUGAUGUGUUCAUUCCAGACAUGCUGUCACUCAUUACCCUGCUCAUCUGUCAGAUUAACAUCUCCCUCACUUUCACACUCUCCCUCCAUCCCCUCCUCCUCUAGCCCUCCCUCAGCUCUUUCUCUUUCUCUUUCUCUUUCUCUUUCUCUGUUUCUCUGUCUCUGUCUCUGUCUCUGUCUCUGUCUCUGUCUCUGUCUCUGUCUCUGUCUCUGUCUCUGUCUCUGUCUCUGUCUCUCUCUCUGUCUCUCUCUCUGUCUCUCUCUCUGUCUCUCUCUCUGUCUCUCUCUCUGUCUCUCUCUCUUUCUCUCUCUUUCUCUCUCUCUCU